AGGAUGAACGCUAGCGGCAGGCCUAACACAUGCAAGUCGAGGGGUAGAACACUUCGGUGUUUGAGACCGGCGCACGGGUGCGUAACGCGUAUGCAAUCUACCUUAUACAGGGGAAUAGCCCAGAGAAAUUUGGAUUAAUGCCCCAUGGUAUUACGAAAUCGCAUGGUUUUGUAAUUAAAGUUCCAACGGUAUAAGAUGAGCAUGCGUCCCAUUAGUUAGUUGGUAAGGUAACGGCUUACCAAGACGAUGAUGGGUAGGGGUCCUGAGAGGGAGAUCCCCCACACUGGUACUGAGACACGGACCAGACUCCGUACGGGAGGCAGCAGUGAGGAUA
This 334-nucleotide ribosomal RNA is filed under the name uncultured soil bacterium. RNAcentral's name for it is "bacterial SSU rRNA". It matches the Rfam family "Bacterial small subunit ribosomal RNA", at positions 26 to 362 of the family's 1533-position model. The record is from RNAcentral.